Molecule: ribosomal RNA, 350 nt
Filed under: uncultured Glomus
Lineage: Eukaryota; Fungi; Glomeromycota; Glomeromycetes; Glomerales; Glomeraceae
Description: SSU rRNA
Rfam family: Eukaryotic small subunit ribosomal RNA
Source: RNAcentral
AGCAGCCGCGGUAAUUCCAGCUCCAAUAGCGUAUAUUAAAGUUGUUGCAGUUAAAAAGCUCGUAGUUGAAUUUCGGGGUCAGUAGAUUGGUCGUGCCACUGGUAUGUACUGGUCUUACUGGCUCCUCCUUCCUGAUGAACCGUAAUGCCAUUAAUUUGGUGUUGCGGGGAGACUGGACUGUUACUUUGAAAAAUUAGAGUGUUUAAAGCAGGCUAACGCUUGAAUACAUUAGCAUGGAAUAAUGAAAUAGGACGUUCGAUCUUAUUUUGUUGGUUUCUAGGAUUGACGUAAUGAUUAAUAGGGAUAGUUGGGGGCAUUAGUAUUCAAUUGUCAGAGGUGAAAUUCUUGGA